CACUAAGAAGCUUUAUGGACAGCGCCAGCUUUUUAAGCUGGACAUAGGUGACCACCAACCACCCUUAGUGU
Molecule: transfer RNA, 71 nt
Filed under: Boulengerula boulengeri (Usambara bluish-gray caecilian)
Lineage: Eukaryota; Metazoa; Chordata; Amphibia; Gymnophiona; Herpelidae
Description: tRNA-Lys
Source: RNAcentral